CCUACGGGGGGCAGCAGUAGGGAAUCUUCCGCAAUGGACGAAAGUCUGACGGAGCAACGCCGCGUGAGGGAAGAAGGCCUUCGGGUCGUAAAGCUCUGUUGUUCGGGAAGAACAAGUACGGGCGGAAAUGACCGGACCUUGACGGUACCUUAAGAGUAAGCCACGGCUAACUACGUGCCAGCAGCCGCGGUAAUACGUAGGUGGCAAGCGUUGACCGGAAUUAUUGGGCGUAAAGCGUGCGCAGGCGGUCUUAUAAGUCUGAUGUGAAAUCUUGGGGCUCAACCGCGAGCGUGCAUUGGAAACUGGAUAGCUAGAGUGCGGAAGAGGAAGACGGAAUUCCGCGUGUAGCGGUGAAAUGCGUAGAUAUGCGGAGGAACACCAGUGGCGAAGGCGAUUUCCUGGACUGUAACUGACGCUGAGGCGCGAAAGCGUGGGGAGCAAACAGGAUUAGAUACCCCAGUAGUC
This 465-nucleotide ribosomal RNA is filed under the name uncultured bacterium. RNAcentral's name for it is "bacterial SSU rRNA". It matches the Rfam family "Bacterial small subunit ribosomal RNA", at positions 338 to 795 of the family's 1533-position model. The record is from RNAcentral.